GCCGGGCGUGGUGGCUCACGCCUGUAGUCCCAGCUACUCAGGAGGCUGAGGCAGGAGAAUUGCUUGAACCCAGGAGGCAGAGGUUGCAGUGAGCCGAGAUCGUGCCACUGCACUCCAGCCUGGGCAACAGAGCAAGACUCUGUCUAAA
This 148-nucleotide non-coding RNA is filed under the name Pan troglodytes (chimpanzee). Lineage: Eukaryota; Metazoa; Chordata; Mammalia; Primates; Hominidae. The record is from Rfam by way of RNAcentral.